RNAcentral lists this long non-coding RNA (1151 nucleotides) under Sus scrofa (pig). Its description in RNAcentral is "lncRNA (ENSSSCG00025026738.1)". Lineage: Eukaryota; Metazoa; Chordata; Mammalia; Artiodactyla; Suidae. The record is from RNAcentral.
CUGCCCUCUGCUCCGAAGAAUGAGCAAGUUGAUCCUAAGGAUGCAGGAGGCACAAUUUUCUGCGGGAGGAAGGAUGACGGUGCCUUCCAGCGCGCCGACACCCGUGCCCCGCUCCCAGACAAUGGCUCAGGCUGGGAACAAGACCCAAUGGAAGGCGUUUGGUCCGGAGCACAGAAUCCUCACAGGCCCGCAGGCUCGGAAAACAAGGUGUCUGGCCCCGCCCUCUGGGUUAAUUGCCCUGGGCGGGGCUUGGGCGGGGCCUGAGCCGCCCUGGUAGUAAAAGCAGGUCCUCGGCCAUCUCAGCCUAGGCUGGAGGAGCAGGGUGGAGGCCAGGCUCCUCGGACCCUGCGGGCGCUGGUUGGUCAGCAGGGCUCGUACCCAGCCGAGCUCCCUGGGGAGUUGGCCUGCUCUCCGACCUCUCCUGAGUGGCCAGGAUCUAGAUCUGCUGAAAGAUGUAAUUUGAUAGGGGAGUAGGGGCUCCAUGUUGGCUUUUGUUUCCAGCAGCUACUUCUGGAGGGCCCCGCAUCUCAAAGGUAUGGGACUUACUCAGGCAUGAGUGAGAUUUCCAUUCUGGUUUUGUUGGUGUGAUGUUCGUGCGUGUGUGUGCGUUUUCUCUGAUGGCCAGAGUUUCCCGGUUGAGGGGGUACAGCAGGGUGGGACACCCCCCACCCCCACCCCCACCCCGUGUAUCUGGUUCCCUGUCAAGAUGUAGUCCCAUGGUAAUAUAUCAAAACCCCACUUCCCACCUGACACACGUGGGAAGCCCCUCUGCUCAGGCAUGCCCAAUCAAGCUGUUUUCCUUUCCUGGGUUUGUGUGUAGGUCUCAGAUGCCUCUGCUCCCAUAUUCGCCUCCGUUCCUGCAUUCAGUGACUCGGCUUUGCUGGGACCAUGGGAUACCCUGGACCUGGAGGAUGCCAGUUGUAUUUUCAGAGAAUGAAAGAGACGCUGAAUCCUACAAUCAUGAGGGGGCAUUUCCGUCCAGACCCGGAACGUGGCGUGCUGUGGCCCUGGGCGCAGAGGAGGAGGUGACCUGUUCAGCUCUUCCUGCUGCUCUCCUGGAAUUCAGACUUGGAAUCACUGCCAAGAACUGGUCAUCGUUGUGUUCUGAAGACAUAGGAGGGAGAAGCUCUCAACAGUUUUCUUUGUUCUGA